ACUAAACAAUGAAAAAUUCUACAACUUGGCUGAAAGAAAUAGUUGUUUCCUAGUCCAGCCUCUCUCACACCUGUUAUUAAAAUACACUAAUACUGUAUAACGCAUCCAAUUCAUAUAAAACUGUACAUAUAAAUAACUAAAACGAUUAUAACUCUAUAAAUAACGGUGCAUAAUCUCAUACAGUAUGCCCUUAAUGUAAUCAAAAUGUCCUUGCCAAUCUAGCUCACCCCUUCCCAAAGGCUCACCUUCCCCCUCGGCAUAAUAAAUUCCUCUUCCCUUUUGGGCUCCCCACCAGCCGGCUUUUAGCUCGGUGGGGACACGUCCAACCUGGUACCCCUUACGGUUUACCAUAAGAGACAGGGGAGGAUGAGGCCCGGCCAUUAUCCCUUUACUUAUCUACCUGCUAACCAUCUCCCACCUUAUUUGGCAAGGAUAUGCCCCCUGCCUAGCUGUGACAACACCCCGAGCCCAAAUUACAAAGUGAGGGUGGGCGUUAAACUGUUGCUGGCCCGGAUACUAAGUGACACUGAGGUCAGCUUAAUUUGUCACCAACCCCUUCCUCACAUCCAACACUUCCACACAUAACAAGCAGCCAUUCAUGUUUCCUCCAUUCCCACACUCAUACAUGUGCCCUUGUCUGCUAAGCUGCACACUCUCCCUGGGGCCUAAUAUAGUAAAAUAGAGAGUCUGAGGCCACAGAUUGCGAACGUGUGCCUGAGUUAUGAGCAAAGCACCAAAAUCCACAGGCACUCCAGGGCUGUAAUUCUAAA
Pelobates cultripes (western spadefoot toad) is the source of this 770-nucleotide non-coding RNA. Lineage: Eukaryota; Metazoa; Chordata; Amphibia; Anura; Pelobatidae. The record is from the annotation of a GenBank genome assembly.